Molecule: long non-coding RNA, 1095 nt
Organism: Salvelinus sp. IW2-2015
Lineage: Eukaryota; Metazoa; Chordata; Actinopteri; Salmoniformes; Salmonidae
Source: RefSeq, a predicted model, not a curated record
CAUACUUACUAUUUCCUUUGUCACAGUUCCUCAUGAACACACACAACGCGUUUCUGCUGUUACAUCCUGUGAACUCUGCCCCUCUCAUCUCUUUCCCCAGUUAGGACCGAGCCUAUGAACAACAGUGAGACUGACAAACGCAGGCAGCAGCACUGGACAGCCAUGCAGGCAAAGUUAAGACAGGGCCUUUAAACAACAGUGAGACUGACUACCACAGAAGGCAGCACUAGACAGCCAUUGCCGGCAAAGGAAUCAUAUUUUAUGCAGUGCUGGUGAAAUGGACAAUCAGACAUGUCAGCUGUUGUUUCAUUGGAUGUCUUGUGGAAUCUGUCCAUUCUUUUGAAAUAAUGUGGAUUGUCCUGCAUUUCCAGGCCUGCUCCGAGAUUAAAUAGGUAUGAUGUCGGGCUCCUAUUGCACAGCAAUACUGUAGCCUACCCAUACUGUAAAAUAUUUGUUAUAUUUACAGGUCUAUUUUACUUUCGAGCAUGGUUGGCUAUUGAAUGAGCGAUGUUUAGACAGUACACAUAUUUUCCCAGGUUUUUUAGUCCAGCCCCCCCAUUAAAUCAAGUUAAGGAGGAAACCGAUGUCUUUCCAGCCUGAAUGGAGGAUGUUUUAUGUACGAACCGGACGCGGGGGGGUUAGGAGUGUAUUGCACAAGGCCAGACGAUGUAAACCUUGGCGAACCGUUGGGUUUGGUGGAACCGUUGGGGCUAGUAGACAGCUGUACAAAACACAAGUUACACACACACAUUUUAAAACACAGAGACACAUUUUAUGAUUAAAAACCAGACUGGAUUUUGUUAAAAAUUUUACAUUUAAAGAAACUACGUUGGUAGACAAAAUUCCAAAAUAUAAAAUAAAUAAAAGCAAAAGGACAUCAGACAAAAAGUUUCACUCUCCACAGUCUCCAUUGACAAUAAUCACAUUUGACAUUAAUACUGUUGAUAAAUUAAUACACUUAAAAUAACUGUUAAUAGUUGACAUUUUCAGUACGUCUAAAUGUGUAUGUGUGUAUGUUUAUAAAUGCAUGCAGGUGUUACAGAUUAACUAUGGCAGAAUGAGCCAGGAUUCAAAUGAUCCUUUUCAUUUUGCAUG